AUGCCUCUCAUGUUCAAUCGCCACCUAAAUGAUGAUGACAUCUCUGACUCUGUGAAAAGUGAAAGGCGAAAUCUUUUGGAAGAUAAUUCAGAUGAAGAAGAGGACUUUUUUCUAAGAGGGCCAUCAGAUGAAGAAGAGAACUUUUUUCUAAGAGGGCCAUCUGGACCAAGAUUUGGACCUAGAAAUGAUAAAAUUAAGCAUGUUCAGAAUCAGGUGGAUAAAGUUAUUAAUGUCAUGCAAGAGAAUAUUACAAAGGUACUUGAGAAGGGAGAGACUAGAUGAAGUACAGGAAAAAUCAGAAAGCUUGUGGGAAAAUGCAACUGCUUUUAGCAACAGAUCCAACAGAUUCUAAGCAACAACUUAGAAGCAUGUGGUGGCAUGAAUGCCAAAUAAAAGCUAUCAUCGCUUUGGCUGCUGGUAUCCUCUUGCUAGUGAUUAUCAUUCUUAUAGUUGUGAAAUACCAUACUUGAUUUGAUGACAGAGAGGGCUUCAUUAAAAGAUCUUGGACAAUAAUAAUAAAAGAUUGCUGCAUAAUUUAAAUGAAACCUAUGUAUAUAACUUUUUAAACUUCUUUUUCAAGAAACUAAGAGUCAAGUAUCACUUCAAAUUGGAGCAUUGAGAAUGUUCAAUUAUCUUCUUCCUUUCUAAUAAAAUGUGCUUUUAAUAAUUACGUUUACGGUGAAGAUAACUAGCCUCUAUUUUGCUAUAUUCCAAGGAUCUAAUUUGAAACUAGAUACUUGCCAGUUCAUUGUUUGUGUAUAUAGUGAAACACUGAUGACGAUAUUUGAUACUAGUAUUUUAAUGGCAUAAGGACUUGCAUUGUUGUGUUAGGUUGCAGGUCAGGCUGGGAGUCAAGAAACCUAUGUGGAGUACCACAUCGUUAUGCUGAAAGAGAUGCAUAACCAUUCUGUCAAUAUUCACAAAAAUAUUAUUUUUUCAUAUUGCAGUUGUUUUGCAAGCAAUUUCCGCAUGUUUAUGGUAUAACUAAAUGUUGUAAAUGUUAUUGCCUUUAGCUAUAACUAAAAACAUUCCAGUAAAGCUAUUUUUGACUGU
RNA transcript from Carlito syrichta (Philippine tarsier), 1053 nucleotides. It is a transcript of the gene named vesicle-associated membrane protein 4 pseudogene, with no coding region annotated. The record is from RefSeq and is a predicted model, not a curated record. Lineage: Eukaryota; Metazoa; Chordata; Mammalia; Primates; Tarsiidae. The transcript has a single exon.